ACACUGAAAAUAAGAAAAGGUUGUAUUUGUAUUAGAGGUUGAAUGUUUAAGACAUUUAUUUUUGGUCUAGUAUGGUUCUCCUUCACAGGAAGGAUACUGUUCGAGUCGGGAAUAUCCAUCUCUCGGUGGGCUUAGCUCUAGUUCUCCCAGUGUGAGCUUUUCCCAUACGCAAAAGUCGCGAACUCAAGAUCUUACCCCAGGAAAAUCAAGCAUGCUUACGAACCACAUUUCUUACAAAAUAAGUAGUGCACAUAAUACUAAUGCACUUUAUUACCUUUUCGUCAGUGAAUCUGGACCAGAAUCUGGCCUUGGCUCUUUCAUAGGGAUCAUGUGGAAGAAGAGGAUUUUGCUUCCAGGUCUCAUCAAUAUACUCAAGAAUCACUAGUGAUUCUGCCAGAGGUUUACCAUCAUGCACAAGAACUGGUACCUUCUUGUAAACAGGGUUAUACUUCAGGAGCAUGACACUUUUGUUGCUGAGAUCUUCUUCCACAUAUUGGUACUGCACCCCCUUUAGUUCAAGAGCCCACUUGACCCUGAGCAUAAAUGGACUACCCCAGAACCCCAUUAAUGUGACUGAAUCCCCUGACAUUUUUGUUUUCUAACCAAAUUCUUGAAGCUCUCCCACUCGCAGGUCCUCUAUAUACUAUAAGAAUAAGAGUAUUGCUUAUUUAUAAUAAGAUAUUAUUAACCAAUCAAUCUGAGUGAGUGGCAUAUACUAGCACACGUAGCCAAUUUAAGAAAAAAGUGACCAACUCAUCGAGUUAGAACUGGUCAAUGGCUAAAAUGAUUAAGUUAUAAGAUCAUAUUAUUAUUAUUAUUAUUAUUAUUAUUAUUAUUAUUAUUAUUAUAGAAGCGUCAUUCACUGCGUCAGUGGUGUGGAACUGGAAAGUAGUUGUCUUUGACUUUGAGUCCCAUCUAGAGAGCAUCUAUGGAGGAAAGAGGAUGAUCUUUUUCAAUAAUAUUUCCAGCGAGGUACCUAGUUCAGACGACGAUACAAAGACAGUGACCAAUUUGAGGAUUAGCCCAAAAAAAAAAAAUAGAGAAAUUGUCAGGGAGACACAUAAGGAAAAUAGGGAAUCCCUCGAGGGAGCGACAAACCUUUCGAGCCCAGUCCUUGCUAUGCAUGAAAGCUCCAUUUCUUAUAUAGCAACCUAAUCCUUACUGGACUCCUUUUUAGGUUCCUCCGAUUUCUUUUCAUGAUGUCAGGCAAGACUAAAAAGAAUCUUUUUUACACCAAGCUUCCUCAAGGACCUAUGUCAGAAUUUCUUGUGCACUCAAAGUAAAUAGAAUUCAUCCGAGACAUGUAUCUCAUGAAGUCAUCCUUCUUUCUUCCUCGACAGCAACCAAAGACCAAAGAAAUCCUUGCAACUUUAAUCCUAGUAGAAGAGAUCGAAGUUUAGAGCCAUAAAAAACUGAUUUCCCGAGUAAAAGUCCAGAUCCCUUGAGGCUCCACAAACAGGGGGUCGAACACAGGAAGCGAAACAUCUUUUCUUUUGGUACGUCGGAAAGAUAAAUUGCACCCGCCACACAUUGAUCCCUGGACCUCCCCCACCUAACCUACAUGUCCCCUAGCUCUUACCACUUGAGCUAUCAUUCGAGGACAAAACAUCUUUCUUUAAUUCAUCCGUAUUUUUUUGUUUUUGAAAUUUAAACAAAGUUUUAGGAUUCAAAUUUAAAGAAAGUUGAUUUCAAAAUGUAUCAGCCAAGAACAUUGAAAGAAGGUAUAGUACCUAGAGUGAAGGGAUUGCAAUGAGAGAAUCUAGAGAGAGAGCGUGUAACCGCUUAGAGAGAGAGUGUAACUGAAUUUCAAGUUUGUUAUUUCUCAAACUUACAAUUGGUAAUCACCCUCUAUUUAUAGGCUAGGGUUGGGACUGGCGUCCCUAACUAUGCUUAGUGGGCUGGUUGGGCCUCUCGGGGGAGGCCUAAUUCCCUGGCUCACGCCAGGGAUGGAUUUAGGUGUAUAGGUAUGAGGGCAAGUGCCCUCACUUAAAUUUGGAAAAAACAUUAGAAAAAAAAAUUGAGUAGUAAAAGUAUGUGGUUUUUUAUGACUUCUUUGAUAAAAAAAUGCUCUCACUUAUUUCCACACAUUGCUAAAUGCCCUCACUUGAGUCUCACAUUUCUAAAUGUCCUCACUUGAGUAGUAAAAAAUGUGGUUUUUGAUGGUCCCUUUGGUAAAAAGUGUCAUCACUUGUGCCUCUUUUAGUAAAAAAUGUUCUCACUUCUAAUAGUAUAUUUUUUUUUUUUUACAAAUUUAUAUGUAUAUAUUGCCCCCACUGCAUCAAAUUUCUGGAUCCGUCACUGGCUCACGCGUCGCCCUGAGGCAAGCAUCCCUGGGCGAUGGCCCAAGGGGUCUCGCCCAGUCCACAAAAAAUUUCUGAUUAAGAAAACCUAUUUUGAAAAAGAAUUUUAGUCUGGAAAUAGUUUUUUGUUUCAUAGCAUAAAUUCAAAAAAGAAAGAGAAAAAAAUCAAAUUAACGUAAAUUUCAAAUUCAAAAAAUUGAUGGACUAAAGCAUGCUAUAUGAUAAGGUAGUUAUGUAAAUUUCAAAGUCGAAGUAGGGUAUAUUUUAAAAUAUGAGAAAAAGUUUGAUGCACCGACGAUCAUGGGCGGAGCCACAGGGGUGGCUUAUCGGUGCUCCGCGCCUCUGAAUAUUUUCGAUAUUCAUACUAGUACUAGGUAUAUUAUUUUUCUAGCACCCGUGACUAUAAAAACGGAUAAUUGCUGGGAAUGAGAAUCGAACCUCCUACUCCUAGGAUAAAAACAAAUUCAUAUGUUUACCACUAUACUAGAAGAACUCUAUUGAGUGUUUUGACAAUUUUAUAUAUUUAUACAUAACCUAAUAUCAUAAUUGGUAUCAAUUAUAUCAAUUGAUUCACACAUAUAUUUUUUUUAAAGAAUUUACAUAUCGAAUCAUUAGGAUUAGUGUUUGAUAAAAUUAUGUUUGAUAUAACGAAGUUUGAUAAAAUAAAAGAUAGAAGAUUAAUGUGUAUAGAAAUAAUACGUAAAAAUAAGUUUAAAAACAAACAUGGUUUAGAUAGAAGAAAGUGAAAUUAAUUUUUUGUUUGAUAUUUAGCCACUCCAGUGUCAAAUUCCUGACUCCGCCCCUGCUGACGGUGUAAAGAUUUUCUUACGCCGUUAGCCAAUCAGAUUUCUUGAAUGUGGGAAAGAUAGAUGUUUUAUUUAAUAAAUUGAGUGACAUGACAAUUUUUUGAAAUCUGAUUGAUUGACUGAGUAAAAAAAAUAUUACACUGAUAGUGAAUCAAAAUUAAACUCAUAUAGUAUAUAUCUAAUCUAAUUAUGAAAAAUAAUAAAAAUUGGUACAUCAGAGAUAAAGGCCCCAUUUGGAAAAACAACUUAAUUAAGCGCUUAUGUCAACAUAAGCGCUUAUUAAUAAGCUAUUUUAAAAAAUUUAUCGAAAUAAAUUGAAAAUAAGUUAUAUAUAAGCAUAAACUAUUUUCCAUAAGCUAUCAUGAGUAGCUUAUGAAAAUAAGCUCAAAAAAGCUUAUUGUACGUCAUAAAUUGUCUGCAUAAGUUCUCCCAAACACUGGCAUAAGCGCUUAUCCUAUCAGAUAAGCUCAAAUAAGUUCUUUCAAACGGGGUCAAAUUGCGCCCUCCAGGAAUCGGUCCCUGAACCUUUCCCACUCUAACUCAUAUGUCUAAUAACUCUUACCCAAUCGAAGCUAGUAUAUAUCCUCCCCAAUUUGACCUCUCUCACCCCAAUCUAUAUGUCUCAUAGAUUUGCAUCCAAUAAUCUUACUUUUAGUAGUACUUUGAGUCUGUAACAAACUAGUAUAAUCUAAUCUAGAGAGUCAUUAUAAUUCUAUGUGCCAACAAUUUAGAGCAAGAUAAUUUUAAAAAAAAAAAUUUAGAGCAAGAUAAAAAAAGUUCACGUCUCAAUCUUAAAACAACUUCAAUCUUUAACUUGAAAUUCAAAAAAAUUGGGCUUAAUGUUUUGUUUUUUGACUGUUGGGCUUAUAAACAGAGAAGGAAUAGGAUUUAAGAGAAAACCAAGGUCGUUUUGUUUUGACCAAAAAAAACUUUCGUUCACAUCACAUUCCUUUCCGCUUCAUAUGACACAAAUGCAUGUGCUUUAACCCUCGGCGCUAUCCUCCCACUCCACCAUCUCAACCGCAACAACCACCUUCCGACGCCUUUGCUUCAGGAAUUGGGUUUGACACCUCACCUAUUGGGUUUGACACCCCACUUUAUUUAAUACGGGAUAAUACGAAACUUAAAAAACCGUACUGUAUUUGAGCAUAUGUGGCACAUUUUCAACUAUUCAUUGCAUACUAAAAUAAAUACGGAAUUUAAAAUUCCGUAUUAAUAUAUUUCAUAUUGAAUAAAGUGGGGGUGUCAAGCCCCUCACGCUUCCUCUUUCUGCUUCACUCGGCGACCCUUGACGGCCCUCGCUCCUGCCUCCUCUGUCUUCAAGUUCAGAUCCCAAGCUCUCUCCUCUUUACUCAAAGAACCUUCUGACUCUGAAGGUAUACUAUAACCGUAAACCAACCUGUCAUAUAUAUUUUUUAGGCUAUUUUUUAUUUGGAACGUACAAAAUUGUAAAGGAAGCCAGAGACCUGUUCGAAAGCUGGUGUAGGAAAUAUCACAAAACAUACUCCUCUGAAGAACAAAAACUCUACAGGUUCGGUGUCUUCAAGGAAAAUAUAGAAUGCUCCACCCAAACGCAAUGGCUAUUUCUGUUCAGAAACAAAAGCUAGAGAAUUGUUCGAAAUCUGGUGCAAGAGACAUGGCCGAACAUACUCUUCGGAAGAACAGAAACUCUACAGGUUCAGUGUCUUCAAGCAAACUCUUGAACGACGCUCCCGUGAAAACAUGAAGCAUGCUAACCCACAACAUCGUGUUAGAAUUUUGGGUAUGAUAAUCCUGGAUAACUUCGAAAAUCGUGUUUGCACACUUUCGAACAAAGUAAAAUACAUUGAUGAUUCUAAAAUCACCAACACAUUGCUGCUUCAACACCAACGUUUAUUAUGAUCUCACCGUGGAGGAAUUUAUGGAACUCUUUGGGGGAUGAAAUUUCAAUUGAUUUCCCUUUCAAUUUCAAGUGAUUUCCCGUUCACAAACUUGGAGAUUUUUUUUGUGUACGUGUUCAGUAGCUGCUUUAUCUACCUUUUAGUUUGUUAGUUUUUGUGUGUUCAGUAGCUGCUUUAUCUGCCUUUUAGUUUGUUAGUUUGAACCAUGUUUGAAUUUCAACAAAGACUUUGGAAAUUUGGUGCUGCCUAAGGCGCCUUACCAUCAUGCACCUUCUUGUAAACAGGGUUAUACUGCAGUAGCGUGGCACUUUUGUUGCUGAGAUCUUCUUCCACAUGUUGGUACUCAACCCCUUUCAGUUCAACAGCCCACUUGAGUACUUGACCCUGAGGACAACUGGACUAGCCCAGAAUCCAAUUAAGGUGAUUGAAUCCCUUGCAAUAUUUGUUUUCUAACCAAAUUCUUGAAGCUCUCUCUCACUUGCAGGUCCUCUAUAUAUAAGUUUUUUUUUCCCUUUUGAAAGCGUCACUUGACUGCAUCAGUAGUAGAACUUGAAAGUUGUUUGUCUUUGACUUAGUCCCAUACCAUCUAGAGAUAGAGGGCUUAACUUGCUACAUCAUGUCCAAGUAUAUUAUUUGAAGAGUUCUUAUGUAGUGACACUCACUUUUGUAAUCUUAUAUUUUACUUGGAAUUUAAAUGGGAAAAAAUAACUUUCUUUACUUGAAUGAUACGGAUAAUUUCCAAUUUCAACUUCGUAUAAAACUAUUGUGAUAUAAUCAAACGUUAUCAUUAUACCGGGACAUAGUGGAUGAUGAUGUUUGGAGGAUUGUCCAAACUACUUUUGCCUUAGGUACCAUUGAUCCUUCUCUUGUAGAAGCUCUUAUGAUUUUAAUUCUUAAGGUGGAUGUGCCGAAUUAGAUGAAAGAGUUUCGACCAAUUAUCCUUUGUAACGUUGUUUAUAACUUAUAAGAUUAUUACUAAGGUUUUUGUACUUCGUCUCCGGUCGUUCCUGGAUCUGAUUAUUAGGCCCCUUCAAUCUAGCUUCAUUCCAGAAAGGGGCACGACAAAUAAUGCUAGGGUGGCUCAAGAGGUAAUUCUCUUUUUGGAGUGUUUAGGGGUUGGGUUGAUUGAAUAAAGAUAAUUGAGGGGUUUGGUGUGGUUUCUUUAAAUAUUUUUGUCAAACCCAAACCAAACCAAACAGAUCCGAUUAAAAAAAUUGGGUUAGUUUGAUUUGAUUCAUCGGGUUAUAACAUACAAAUAAAUUUAAAAUUUUUUAAUAUUUUAUCCACAUUUAUUAUAAAUUUUAUGGAUAAAAUAUUUAAUGAUAUCACUACAGAUUUAAAAAAUAUAUUGAAUGAUAGAUUAAGCAUCUAUCAUCUUUUUUUUUGUUAUCUCUAAGCUAGGUUGACGUGAUAAUCCUGAUCAUAGUCAAGGUCGCCAGUUGACAGGGUCACUUAUCUGGUGGUAGGAUGAAUUUUUUUUGAACAAAUUUGGAACCAAAAAAUAUGUCAUAGCUGGUUGUUGGAAGGUAGCAUGGUAGUCAUGGUUUAUUCAGUUCUACAAGCCAUGUCAAUCAGGAUCUGACUUUUUAAAACCCAAACUGGUGUAGUGGCUGAAUCACCCAUUCUCCAGGCAUAUGGUUUUUACAAUUAGUUUCAACAUACCAAAUUGCUGAAGAAAUGGGCUACUCUAUUUUUCUUUUUCUGUAAGAGGGUGAGAUUAAUAUUCUGUGAUCAGCCUAUUUUAUUAUCUAUCACAUUUGGGAUGAAUUUAUGACAUGUUUAAUUUCCCAUAAAAAAAAUAAGAUUUCCGCUCACUUUUUUUAUUUUAAAAUGAACAUGAACGCUCGUUUGAACUAGUGCUAACAAAAACCUAAACAUGAACUCUGACUAUCAAGUAGCCUGAUAUUGAUCUUGCAGAGCCUUUCAAGUGGAUGAAGAUAUCAAGAACUUGUGGAAGGCCUUGUUCUUCUCAAGCAGUUUAUCACGAGGUGGCAUGGAUUCUUUGAUAAUAGGAAGCUCCUGAAAAUCAUCGAACCAAGCAUUAAGCUUAGCCAUGGACUCUGUAUCAAUUAGGUUUAUGCCCACAAUUUCUUCCACUAUCCCAACCCAAUAUCUUAGCCACCCAAUAGCAAUAUCAGCAAAGCCUAUUGUUUCACCUCCAAAGUAGCGUUUUCCCUCAAGUCCACCUUCAAGGAUCUUCAGAUUCUCUCUGAGUUCUUGUGCUGCUUUCUGUUGUUCCUCCCCUAGUUUGGAAAAUGUCCCAAUAAUUGCUGGCAUACACUGAAAAUAAGAAAAGGUUGGUUUCUGUAUCAGAGGUUGAAUAUUGCAGAUAAGCUGAAGACACCUUGUUACAAAAAUGUAAUGCAUAUAAUACUAAUUGUGUGUACAUUGUUCCAGUUAUGAAAUCUCCAAAUAAUCAUGUACAGAGUAGAAACAACUAUGAGCAUGUUUGGAUAUACGAUUUUAAAACCAUAGUGGACCUAAAAUCAUGGUGGAUAACCACAGAAGUUAAAGGAACUUGUUUAUGUACCAUGAUUUUAACUUCAUUGUGAUUUUUCACCAUAUACCCAAACAUGCAUUAUCUCUAUCUUCUUCACAUAUUUGACUUGGAACUAAAACCAAUUAUAUUGCCAAACAUUUAUGUGUUUGUUUGGUUCCACGUUUAGAAGCCUGAAACUCAAUUCUCAUUGACUUCACUUUUAAAUGGUGGUUAUAUAGAUGUUUGAUAAUCAACCAAAUUUUAGUCCUAAAAUUGAGAAGCUAAAGAGACUAACUUUUGCAGUAGACUUAUUAGUGUCGAAUUUUGUCUCUGAAUUAUCAGAACAUUACCCUAUAGAGAUCACUUGUCUCAUUAACGUUUUCAAACAUACAUCAUUUCACUUUCAACUAACUUUUAACAUAAACAAUUCUAGCAAAAUCAAUUCUGCCAUAUAUAACAAUAAGUAUUGAAAUGUAAAACUAAAAACAACUAAUAGACUUCAUUACCUUUUCAUCAAUGAAUCUGGACCAGAAUCUGGCCCUGGCUCUUUCAUAGGGAUCAUGUGGAAGAAGAGGAUUUUGCUUCCAGGUCUCAUCAAUAUACUCAAGAAUCACUAGUGAUUCUGCCAGAUGCUUACC
This 8103-nucleotide long non-coding RNA is filed under the name Lotus japonicus. Its description in RNAcentral is "long non-coding RNA (LJAP_LNC001056)". Lineage: Eukaryota; Viridiplantae; Streptophyta; Magnoliopsida; Fabales; Fabaceae. The record is from RNAcentral.